AAAAGAAGUUAAAAAACUUCUAAAAAAGGGCUAUUAGCUCAGUUGGUUAGAGCGCACCCCUGAUAAGGGUGAGG
This 74-nucleotide transfer RNA is filed under the name Alaria marginata. Its description in RNAcentral is "tRNA-Ile". The stretch from base 28 to 74 matches the Rfam family "tRNA", at positions 1 to 45 of the family's 71-position model. Rfam says of the family: Transfer RNA (tRNA) molecules are approximately 80 nucleotides in length. Their secondary structure includes four short double-helical elements and three loops (D, anti-codon, and T loops). The record is from RNAcentral. Lineage: Eukaryota; Phaeophyceae; Laminariales; Alariaceae.